CCUACGGGUGGCAGCAGUGAGGAAUAUUGGUCAAUGGACGAGAGUCUGAACCAGCCAAGUCGCGUGAAGGAUGACUGCCCUAUGGGUUGUAAACUUCUUUUAUAUGGGAAUAAAACGUUCCACGUGUGGGAUUUUGUAUGUACCAUAUGAAUAAGGAUCGGCUAACUCCGUGCCAGCAGCCGCGGUAAUACGGAGGAUCCGAGCGUUAUCCGGAUUUAUUGGGUUUAAAGGGAGCGUAGGUGGAUUGUUAAGUCCGUUGUGAAAGUUUGCGGCUCAAACGUAACAUUGCAGUUGAAACUGGCAGUCUUGAGUACAGUAGAGGUGGGCGGAAUGCGUGGUGUAGCGGUGAAAUGCUUAGAUAUCACGAAGAACUCCGAUUGCGAAGGCAGUUCACUGGACUGCAACUGACACUGAGGCUCGAAAGUGUGGGUAUCAAACAGGAUUAGAUACCCGGGUAGUC
Molecule: ribosomal RNA, 460 nt
Filed under: uncultured bacterium
Lineage: Bacteria
Description: partial 16S ribosomal RNA
Rfam family: Bacterial small subunit ribosomal RNA
Source: RNAcentral